GCCGAAGCAUCCAUCCACCCCACCCCCGCUGUCGUGAACCUCCAGGCCCACUCCGCCCGAGAUACACGGUGAAGACAACAAGAUCCGGACACCCGAAGAGAAGACGAAAAUGCGGAAACGGGAUUUUUACAGGCCUUUCCAGAUCCUGUAAUCAGGAUUCCCCAUUCCACCCCUUUCAGGAUCGAAGAUAACUAGCAUACGCCCUCAUCUGACAAGCAAAUGUUGUCUCCUUGCUGUGGAAAUCCUUAAAAUCCCUGGCCCAUUAUUUCCAUAGUCUUUGCCAAAAUGCACCUUUUAGGUGUGAUUGAUUCCAUUGCCCACAGGCAUCAGCUCUUUGAGUGAAAAGGCUUACCUGGGCGUAUACCAUUGAUGGUGUUCCCUCUCUCCAGACCUCCCGCAGUUUAAUUCUCAGAAGUCAUCUAUACUUAUGAUGCAAUAUCAUAGUUCGGCAUGGUUUUUGUAGUACCAAACAAAUGUUUAAACUAAGAUAAUGCAAAACAGGCA
RNAcentral lists this long non-coding RNA (504 nucleotides) under Fukomys damarensis (Damara mole-rat). RNAcentral's name for it is "lncRNA (ENSFDAG00000027684.1)". The record is from RNAcentral. Lineage: Eukaryota; Metazoa; Chordata; Mammalia; Rodentia; Bathyergidae.